GAUCUCACAGGAAUCCUUCAACUGCUUUCUACCAAGCGUUCCAUUUGAACACGUUACAGGAAUCAAAGAGCCUCUGGGAUAGGGGGGGAAUCACGUGGUAUCUAGCAUGGGACAAAGCAGCAAAAUAAACCAAAAGGACAAUCUCUAUUUUAUAUAGAAAAUAAACAUACUUUUCUGCAUCCUGUGUACUUUAAGUAUAUCUAUAUUUUUGAAGGGUUCAUAUUGUGUUGAAUUUUUCAUAUGAAAUAGUCACUUCCCCAGUGUAUUUUAAUGCAAAUGCAUAUUCUAUAAAAUAAACUAUAUUUUAAUUUU
RNAcentral lists this small RNA (312 nucleotides) under Pongo abelii (Sumatran orangutan). RNAcentral describes it as "processed transcript". The record is from RNAcentral. Lineage: Eukaryota; Metazoa; Chordata; Mammalia; Primates; Hominidae.